GAAAGCGGGGGCCUUGGAAGGUGUGCCAUUAUCAGGGUGCUUGGGAGACCAAUCUGCUGCCUUAGUUGGACAAAUGUGUUUCCAAGAUGGACAGGCCAAAAAUACG
Long non-coding RNA from Gracilinanus agilis (Agile Gracile Mouse Opossum), 106 nucleotides. RefSeq lists it as uncharacterized. The transcript has 2 exons. The record is from RefSeq and is a predicted model, not a curated record. Lineage: Eukaryota; Metazoa; Chordata; Mammalia; Didelphimorphia; Didelphidae.